AUGGGGCGCUACGGGGCAGCCACGUGGUGGCUAUGGGGCAGCUAUGGGGCACCGUGGGGCGCUAUGGGGCAGCCAUGGGGUGACUAUGGGGCCAGUGGGGCAGCUCUGAGGUGGCUAUGGGGCACCAUGGGGCAGCUAUGGGGCGCUGUGGGGCGCUAUGGGGCAGGCUCAGCUGUGGGGCAGGAGGGCGCGCAGGGAGGGCUGGGGGCUGUGCCCGGGGGGCUGCUCCCCCCCCCCCCCCCCCCCCCUCCCCCCCCCGCUGCCUUCGGCCUCCUCCUCAUCCUCGGGGGGCGCCGGGGGGCGGGGCCGGAACGAGACCACCCAGGGCUGCCCCUCCCCCAGGCAGCCGCAGGGGGGGGCGCGAGACUUCAGGGGGGGCAGGGGGCGGGGCCUGGGGGGGGGAGGGAGGGGUCAGGAUAGGGGGCGGGACCCCCCCCGGAGCCCCAUAAGUAAAAAGGGACCCCCAGGGACCCCACUUGGGGGGCAAGGACCCCCCCAAAACCCCAGGGACCCCCCCCGAUGACCCCAUAACCCCAAAGGGACCCCCCCAAAAAUCCACUUAUGGGGCAGGGACCCCCCCCAAAUACUCAGGGACCCCUCCCCAAAACCCCAUAACCCCAAAGGGACCCCCCCAAAGACUCCACUUGGGGGGCGGGGAGCCCCCCA
RNAcentral lists this long non-coding RNA (666 nucleotides) under Anas platyrhynchos platyrhynchos (common mallard). Its description in RNAcentral is "lncRNA (ENSAPLG00000027279.1)". Lineage: Eukaryota; Metazoa; Chordata; Aves; Anseriformes; Anatidae. The record is from RNAcentral.